RNAcentral lists this ribosomal RNA (441 nucleotides) under Triticum aestivum (bread wheat). RNAcentral describes it as "partial small subunit ribosomal RNA". Lineage: Eukaryota; Viridiplantae; Streptophyta; Magnoliopsida; Poales; Poaceae. The record is from RNAcentral.
AUAUGUGAUGUUUCUAUUGAGAAAGUGCAAGGACUGGAUUCUUUCUUCAAGAGGUAUGGGGAAACUGAUUUUGUAGAAGCAUUGGAGAAAGUCCAAGGAAUUGCACUUGAGAUGGAUAUUGGUACAACACUUUGUAAAAGAUGAGAAACUAAAAUAAAGAGACAUUUUGAUGAGAACCCAGAUGAUACAAAUGUUGCCACACAGUCUGCAGAGGAAUCAUUCGGAAACACCUAUUUUAUAUGUAUUGCUGAUCAAGCAAUUAGCUCACUUACAAGCAGAUUUGACCAAUAUCAGGGUUACCACAAAGUAUUUGGUCUCUUAUUUACCUCUGAAACAUUGCAGCCAUUGGAUAAGAAGAGCUUGAAAACUUCUUGUGAUAAUCUUGAGGUUGCUCUUAAAAAGAUGGAAAAUCUGACGAUGAUGCUAAUGAAUUUUAUGUGA